Molecule: non-coding RNA, 126 nt
Organism: Triticum aestivum (bread wheat)
Lineage: Eukaryota; Viridiplantae; Streptophyta; Magnoliopsida; Poales; Poaceae
Source: Rfam
GAUGUACUCCCUCCGUCCGGAAAUACUUGUCGGAGAAAUGAAUGUAUCUAGAUGUAUUUUAGUUCUAAGAUACAUCCAUUUUUGUUCAUUUCUCCGACGAGUAUUUUCGGACGGAGGGAGUAUGUC